CUCAGUGAGCAUAUACGCGCACCAUUCGACAAUUCCAGCAACCAUGUGGUUUUGUAGAAGAGCGUAUAGGAGAUGCAGAUAAUCAGAAGAGCUAUUUGUCUUUGUGAGGCUGGGAUGCACCAGGAAAGAACACGUAACGGGGUGUAAAUCAUCAGGUACGAAGGGAUUCGGUUCAGGAUCCAGCAGCAGCAAUUUCCUCAGACGGACGGAUCGAAUUAGGCAGCCAUCCAUCCUCUGCGCAACAGAAAUUCUCGGUUGAAGUACAUGUUUUAGCUGCUGUGCAUCCAGAGAUGCAAAGUCAGGCAAUAAUAAUUCAGAG
Molecule: long non-coding RNA, 319 nt
Filed under: Setaria italica (foxtail millet)
Lineage: Eukaryota; Viridiplantae; Streptophyta; Magnoliopsida; Poales; Poaceae
Description: long non-coding RNA (SITA_LNC000975)
Source: RNAcentral